RNAcentral lists this ribosomal RNA (443 nucleotides) under uncultured bacterium. RNAcentral's name for it is "partial 16S ribosomal RNA". It matches the Rfam family "Bacterial small subunit ribosomal RNA", at positions 338 to 795 of the family's 1533-position model. The record is from RNAcentral.
CCUACGGGAUGCAGCAGUGGGGAAUAUUGGGCAAUGGACGCAAGCCUGACCCAGCAACGCCGCGUGAAGGAAGAAGGCUUUCGGAUUGUAAACUUCUUUUCGCGGGGACGAAGAAAGUGACUGUACCUGAAGAAUAAGCCACGGCUAACUACGUGCCAGCAGCCGCGGUAAUACGUAGGUGGCAAGCGUUAUCCGGAUUGAUUGGGGGUAAAGGGCGUGUAGGCGGGAUGGCAAGUCAGAUGUGAAAACUCAGGGCUCAACCUCGGGACUACUUUUGAAACUGUGUGGCUUGAGUGCAGGAGAGGUGAAUGGAAUUCCGUGUGUAGCGGUGAAAUGCGUAGAUAUACGGAGGAACACCAGCGGCGAAGGCGGAUUGCUGGACAGUAACUGACGCUGAGGCGCGAAAGCGUGGGGAGCAAACAGGAUUAGAUACCCGAGUAGUC